AACUGCCAGAUAGUGCUUUUGGCUUGCAGCCUGUAACAGAACAAGAGAAUGGAUUUGAUCAUCAGACAGCCAGGGACAGAGAGCCUUCCAUUGACAUCUCCUCUCUGCAUCUCAAUCAGACAACGAGUGGUCAUAAAACAUCUGAUGAAGAGGUAAAUGCUGAAGAGAUCCAUGAGGAAAACAUCCAGGAUU
Non-coding RNA from Maylandia zebra (zebra mbuna), 192 nucleotides. NCBI's taxonomy places the organism in Eukaryota, Metazoa, Chordata, Actinopteri, Cichliformes, Cichlidae. The record is from RefSeq and is a predicted model, not a curated record.